AGUGAACGCUGGCGGCGUGCCUAAUACAUGCAAGUCGAACGGAGAUUAAGUAGCUUGCUAUUUAAUCUUAGUGGCGCACGGGUGAGUAAUAUAUAGCUAAUCUGCCCUACACUAGAGGACAACAGUUGGAAACGACUGCUAAUACUCUAUACUCCUUCUAAGCAUAAGCUUAGUCGGGAAAGUUUUCGGUGUAGGAUGAGGCUAUAUCGUAUCAGCUAGUUGGUAAGGUAACGGCCUACCAAGGCUAUGACGCGUAACUGGUCUGAGAGGAUGAUCAGUCACACUGGAACUGAGACACGGUCCAGACUCCUACGGGAGGCAGCAGUAGGGAAUAUUGCUCAAUGGGGGAAACCCUGAAGCAGCAACGCCGCGUGGAGGAUGACACUUUUCGGAGCGUAAACUCCUUUUCUUGGGAAAGAAUUAUGACGGUACCCAAGGAAUAAGCACCGGCUAACUCCGUGCCAGCAGCCGCGGUAAUACGGAGGGUGCAAGCGUUACUCGGAAUCACUGGGCGUAAAGGACGCGUAGGCGGAUUAUCAAGUCUCUUGUGAAAUCUAACGGCUUAACCGUUAAACUGCUUGGGAAACUGAUAAUCUAGAGUAAGGGAGAGGCAGAUGGAAUUCUUGGUGUAGGGGUAAAAUCCGUAGAGAUCAAGAAGAAUACCCAUUGCGAAAGCGAUCUGCUGGAACUUAACUGACGCUAAUGCGUGAAAGCGUGGGGAGCAAACAGG
RNAcentral lists this ribosomal RNA (730 nucleotides) under uncultured Campylobacter sp. RNAcentral describes it as "bacterial SSU rRNA". It matches the Rfam family "Bacterial small subunit ribosomal RNA", at positions 28 to 776 of the family's 1533-position model. Lineage: Bacteria; Pseudomonadati; Campylobacterota; Epsilonproteobacteria; Campylobacterales; Campylobacteraceae. The record is from RNAcentral.